Podarcis lilfordi (Lilford's wall lizard) is the source of this 74-nucleotide non-coding RNA. The record is from the annotation of a GenBank genome assembly. Lineage: Eukaryota; Metazoa; Chordata; Lepidosauria; Squamata; Lacertidae.
GACACAGUAACACAAUGGCUCAAUGUGUCUGGCUGUUAACCAGAAGGUUGGUAGUUCGAGUCCAUCCAGGGACA